CAGUCGAGCGAGAAAGGCCUUCGGGCUGAGUACAGCGGCGGACGGGUGAGUAACGCGUAGGAAUCUACCUGGUAGUGGGGGACAACAUGGGGAAACUCAUGCUAAUACCGCAUACGCCCUAUGGGGGAAAGCGGGGGACCUUCGGGCCUCGCGCUAUCAGAUGAGCCUGCGUAGGAUUAGCUUGUUGGUGAGGUAAAGGCUCACCAAGGCGACGAUCCUUAGCUGGUCUGAGAGGAUGAUCAGCCACACUGGAACUGAGACACGGUCCAGACUCCUACGGGAGGCAGCAGUGGGGAAUAUUGCGCAAUGGGCGAAAGCCUGACGCAGCCAUGCCGCGUGUGUGAAGAAGGCCUUAGGGUUGUAAAGCACUUUCAAUUGGGAAGAAAGGUUGCGUGUUAAUAGCACGUAGCUGUGACGUUACCUUUAGAAGAAGCACCGGCUAACUCCGUGCCAGCAGCCGCGGUAAUACGGAGGGUGCGAGCGUUAAUCGGAAUUACUGGGCGUAAAGCGCGCGUAGGCGGUUUGUUAAGUCGGAUGUGAAAGCCCCGGGCUCAACCUGGGAAUUGCCUUCGAUACUGGCCGACUAGAGUACGAGAGAGGGAGGUAGAAUUCCACGUGUAGCGGUGAAAUGCGUAGAUAUGUGGAGGAAUACCGGUGGCGAAGGCGGCCUCCUGGCUCGAUACUGACGCUGAGGUGCGAAAGCGUGGGUAGCAAACAGGAUUAGAUACCCUGGUAGUCCACGCCGUAAACGAUGUCUACUAGCCGUUGGGAGACUUGAUUUCUUAGUGGCGCAGCUAACGCACUAAGUAG
Molecule: ribosomal RNA, 810 nt
Filed under: Parahaliea mediterranea
Lineage: Bacteria; Pseudomonadati; Pseudomonadota; Gammaproteobacteria; Cellvibrionales; Halieaceae
Description: bacterial SSU rRNA
Rfam family: Bacterial small subunit ribosomal RNA
Source: RNAcentral